Molecule: ribosomal RNA, 499 nt
Filed under: uncultured bacterium
Lineage: Bacteria
Description: partial 16S ribosomal RNA
Rfam family: Bacterial small subunit ribosomal RNA
Source: RNAcentral
GACGAACGCUGGCGGCGUGCCUAAUACAUGCAAGUCGAGCGGACUGAAUGGGAGCUUGCUCUUGUUCGGUCAGCGGCGGACGGGUGAGUAACACGUGGGCAACCUGCCCGCAAGACCGGGAUAACUCCGGGAAACCGGAGCUAAUACCGGAUAACACCGAAGACCGCAUGGUCUUUGGUUGAAAGGCGGCGCAAGCUGCCACUUGCGGAUGGGCCCGCGGCGCAUUAGCUAGUUGGUGAGGUAACGGCUCACCAAGGCGACGAUGCGUAGCCGGCCUGAGAGGGUGACCGGCCACACUGGGACUGAGACACGGCCCAGACUCCUACGGGAGGCAGCAGUAGGGAAUCUUCCGCAAUGGGCGAAAGCCUGACGGAGCGACGCCGCGGGAGCGAAGAAGGCCUUCGGGUCGUAAAGCUCUGUUGUGAGGGACGAAGGAGCGCCGUUUGAAGAAGGCGGCGCGGUGACGGUACCUCACGAGGAAGCCCCGGCUAACUACGUG